CGUUGUAGGGGUUCCUGCGGAGGGAUCAUUACACAACAAAAAUAUGAGGGUGUGGUUUGCUGGCAACAGCGUCCGCCCCAAGUAUUUUUCACCCAUGUCUUUUGCGCACUUUUUGUUUCCUGGGCGAGUUCGCUCGCCACCAGGACCCAACCAUAAACCUUUUUUUAUGCAGUUGCAAUCAGCGUCAGUAUAAUAAUUCAAUUUAUUAAAACUUUCAACAACGGAUCUCUUGGUUCUGGCAUCGAUGAAGAACGCAGCGAAAUGCGAUACGUAGUGUGAAUUGCAGAAUUCAGUGAAUCAUCGAAUCUUUGAACGCACAUUGCGCCCUUUGGUAUUCCAAAGGGCAUGCCUGUUCGAGCGUCAUUUGUACCCUCAAGCUUUGCUUGGUGUUGGGCGUCUUUUUGUCUCUCCCCUUGUUGGGGGAGACUCGCCUUAAAACGAUUGGCAGCCGACCUACUGGUUUUCGGAGCGCAGCACAAAUUUGCGCCUUCCAAUCCACGGGGCGGCAUCCAGCAAGCCUUUGUUUUCUAUAACAAAUCCACAUUUUGACCUCGGAUCAGGUAGGGAUACCCGCUGAACUUAAGCAUAUCAAACG
RNAcentral lists this ribosomal RNA (595 nucleotides) under Exserohilum rostratum. RNAcentral describes it as "eukaryotic LSU rRNA". The stretch from base 210 to 363 matches the Rfam family "5.8S ribosomal RNA". The record is from RNAcentral. Lineage: Eukaryota; Fungi; Ascomycota; Dothideomycetes; Pleosporales; Pleosporaceae.